AUUAAUAUUAUUAGUUAACUUUGUACUUUUGAGAUACUAAUUUAAAUCUUUCUUUCAAAUUAAUCCAAUAUUUGAAAUGCUUAACCUUGCUCUAUUUGAUAUCUUUCUGAAAUCAAUUAAAUUUUACUAUUUUUUUAGUCGGAUUCAAAUUUUAGGUUUAGUUAUAAAUGAUCAUGCCUAAUGUUUAAAUCAUGACUGUUAUAAGAUAUUUAUAUCUUGAGAAUAAUAAUAAUAAUAAUAAUAAAUGGGUUUUAUAUGGCAACAUGGAUCACGUGGAUGAUGUAAUUUAUUACAUCGAAUCAAAUAUAUGAUCUAACAUAUACUAAAAGGAGAAUAUUCUGAGUGUUUAGGGUGUCCACGUGUCAAAAUAAAUCAACCUAUCACGAGUUUACACUUCAUCAGAGUCUCCACGUCAGCCAGCUGCCUUCUUUCUUUCUCUCACGCGCCUCCUCUAACAACCCAAACGUCGCUGUUACGAAACUUUGUUCUUCUCCACCUUUAACUAUCUCCCUCCUCCAUAACUGAUAACUCCUCAAAUCCUUUUUUUUAAUUCCUCUGUUAUGACCGCAACACUCGAUGUCAACUUCUAGCUACGGCAAAUCUAACCAUGUUCCUUCCUCUUUCUGUUAUUAUCCUUCAUCUUCCUUGCCUCAUCGCCUCCUUCUCAUCAAGUAAGGAGCUUCAGAUAUUUGACGCUCUACCUCUAUGGAACGGAUCAGAUUAGGAGAAGAAAGUUCUCUAAGAGCUAGGUUCUGCCUCAGAAACUUAACAGAUAGAUCUCUUAUUCUGAAGGGAAGCACAAACCAUUCACGGGAUGAAGUUUCCCAAUUUGCAGAUCAAGUUUUUCUCUACUCCGAGUGCACCGAACACUGUUAUCAAAUCAAAAAGCUCUGGUGGGCAAUAAAUGCGUCAAGAAAAUCUUAUGGUUUCUUGGAAGGAUGAUUUUGUUUGUUGGGCAUCUGUAGUCUUCUCAGGGAAUCUUCCGGUUCCGGUCUUCUCUCCACCUCAAAUACAAAAGCGGUCAGCACAUGUUUGCAGCGUUAGGACGGUAAGAAUUUCUCUAAUAUUCAUGAUUUCUUUUUACUUUUAUGUUUUCACUUACACAUGUAGAUUUUGGAGAUCUCUCUUUUGUUUAACGUCAGAUUUUGAAAUUAGUUUUGCAAGACAGGAAAUCGGUGAAGAAGAUAGUAAAUGAAAGUUGUAACAAAUGAGGUGAGAGAAGUGAUAUCUCACUUUUUGUUUCCUUUUUUACUUGGAAAGAUUAUAUGAGAUUGGUUAAUACGGAGGAGAUGUGGCAAACACAAGAUAUUCUCUGCAUGAGCAGAUUUGAGACAGAUGUGGGAAAAAUUAAAAUGACUAGAAUUUGACCUGGAUUGGUUAAUACUUAAAUAAGUAAUACUCCCCAUAAUGACCCGCUGAUGGUAGUAGACCUGUGCAAGUAGUGGCUGUUCCAACAUCAAAGGGUCAAGCACUUGCUGAUGAAUAUGGAAGCAAGUUCUUUGAAACAAGUGCCAAAACAAAUCUAAAUGUGGAAGAGGUUUUCUUCUCGAUAGCAAAGGACAUUAAGCAGAGACUCACAGAUACUGACUCGAGACCAGAGGAUGAAAAGAAGUGUAUAGCCGGCAGUUUUUGUGACAUGCUCUUCAUAGCACCGUCAGACAGGAGCUAAGGUUCAUAAUUUAAAAGAAACAAAACUUUCUCAUAUUUUUUUACUUCAUAGUGGAUGAGUAUUAAGUUAGCUGUGAUGGUAUGUAGGGUUACUUGACUCCAUGUUCAGGGGAGUCUCACCUGCCUAUAUUCAAGCCCCCAAUGGAGGGUCUGGAGGACAUCUUGACCAACCAAGUCAUGUGAGAUCACUGACCUAGAUCACAGGUUUCUUCUAAUGGAAAGAAUGUACUCAAACUCAUCGAAUGAUACUUUGAAGAUAUAAGAAAAACAACAUCUAAUAAUUUACUUGAAGAUCAUAAUACUCCGGAGAAGAUACUAUUUCUUAUGUUUAUAUUUUAUUUUUUCUGACAUUAUAUGUUACACUACAAUUCUUUAGAUCAAUCUAUGGAACCAUUACUUUGUAA
Brassica napus (rape) is the source of this 2072-nucleotide long non-coding RNA. RefSeq lists it as uncharacterized. The transcript is spliced from 6 exons. The record is from RefSeq and is a predicted model, not a curated record. NCBI's taxonomy places the organism in Eukaryota, Viridiplantae, Streptophyta, Magnoliopsida, Brassicales, Brassicaceae.